RNAcentral lists this ribosomal RNA (507 nucleotides) under Centetipsylla madagascariensis. RNAcentral's name for it is "partial 16S ribosomal RNA". The stretch from base 384 to 507 matches the Rfam family "Archaeal large subunit ribosomal RNA", at positions 2542 to 2667 of the family's 2987-position model. The record is from RNAcentral. Lineage: Eukaryota; Metazoa; Arthropoda; Insecta; Siphonaptera; Pulicidae.
GUCUUUUUGAAUUUAAUUUAAAGUCUAAUCUGCCCAUUGAUUUAUUAAAAGGCCGCAGUAUUUUGACUGUGCAAAGGUAGCAUAAUAAUUAGUUUUUUAAUUGAAAGCUGGAAUGAAUGAUUGAAUGAGAUAUUAACUGUCUUAAUUUAAAUGAAUUUGAAAUUAAUUUUUAUGUUAAAAAGCUUAAAUAAUAUUAAAGGACGAGAAGACCCUUUAAAGCUUUAUAUAGAUACUUAAAUAAUUUUAAAGAAUAUUUUAUUUAUAUAAGUUAAUAUAUUUUAUUGGGGUGAUAGGAAAAUUUAUAUAACUUUUUUUUAAUAAAAAACAUUGAUAAAUGAAUAAUUGAUCCAUAAAUUGUGAUUAUAAGAUUAAGUUACUUAAGGGAUAACAGCGUAAUUAUUUUUGAGAGAACUAAUCGACAAAAUAGAUUGCGACCUCGAUGUUGGAUUAAGAUAAUUUUUAGGUGUAGAAGUUUAAAAAUUUGGUCUGUUCGACCAUUUAUUCUUA